RNAcentral lists this ribosomal RNA (492 nucleotides) under uncultured bacterium. Its description in RNAcentral is "bacterial SSU rRNA". It matches the Rfam family "Bacterial small subunit ribosomal RNA", at positions 29 to 507 of the family's 1533-position model. The record is from RNAcentral.
AGUGAACGCUGGCGGCAGGCCUAACACAUGCAAGUCGAGCGGCAGCGCGUCCGACCACCCUCGGGUGGUCGGAUGGCGGCGAGCGGCGGACGGGUGAGGAAUGCAUCGGAAUCUGCCUCGUUGUGGGGGAUAACGUAGGGAAACUUACGCUAAUACCGCAUAAGCCCUGAGGGGGAAAGCAGGGGAUCGCAAGACCUUGCGCGAAUGGAGCGGCCGAUAUCAGAUUAGCUAGUUGGUGAGGUAAAGGCUCACCAAGGCGACGAUCUGUAGCGGGUCUGAGAGGAUGAUCCGCCACACUGGAACUGAGACACGGUCCAGACUCCUACGGGAGGCAGCAGUGGGGAAUUUUGGACAAUGGGCGCAAGCCUGAUCCAGCCAUGCCGCGUGAAGGAUGAAGGCCCUAUGGGUUGUAAACUUCUUUGUACGGGAAAAAACCUUCUUACGUGUAAGAAGCUGAUUGUACUGUAAGAAUAAGGAUCGGCUAACUCCGUG